RNAcentral lists this ribosomal RNA (253 nucleotides) under uncultured bacterium. RNAcentral describes it as "partial 16S ribosomal RNA". It matches the Rfam family "Bacterial small subunit ribosomal RNA", at positions 524 to 776 of the family's 1533-position model. The record is from RNAcentral.
UACGGAGGGUGCAAGCGUUAUCCGGAUUUACUGGGUUUAAAGGGUGCGUAGGUGGGUAGGUAAGUCAGUGGUGAAAUCUUCAAGCUUAACUUGGAAACUGCCAUUGAUACUAUUUAUCUUGAAUACUUUGGAGGUAAGCGGAAUAUGUCACGUAGCGGUGAAAUGCUUAGAUAUGACAUAGAACACCAAUUGCGAAGGCAGCUUACUACACAGUAAUUGACACUGAGGCACGAAAGCGUGGGGAUCAAACAGG